AACGAACGCUGGCGGCGUGCCUAACACAUGCAAGUCGAACGCGAACGGGUCUUCGGACCCUAGUAGAGUGGCGCACGGGUGAGUAACACGUGGGCAAUCUACCCAGGGAUUUGGGAUAACCAGGGGGAAACCCUGGCUAAUACCGAAUACGUCCAUGAGGCCUUCGGUCCUCAUGGAGAAAGGUGGCCUCUUCUCGAAAGCUGCCGUUCCUGGAUGAGCCCGCGGACCAUUAGCUUGUUGGUGAGGUAACGGCUCACCAAGGCCAUGAUGGUUAGCUGGUCUGAGAGGAUGAUCAGCCACACUGGGACUGACACACGGCCCAGACUCCUACGGGAGGCAGCAGUGGGGAAUCUUGCGCAAUGGGGGAAACCCUGACGCAGCAACGCCGCGUGGGUGAUGAAGGCCCUUGGGUCGUAAAGCCCUGUCUGGAGGAAAGAAUCCCGCUCUCGCUAAUACCGGGAGUGGAUGACGGUACCUCUGAAGGAAGCACCGGCUAACUCCGU
RNAcentral lists this ribosomal RNA (503 nucleotides) under uncultured bacterium. RNAcentral describes it as "bacterial SSU rRNA". It matches the Rfam family "Bacterial small subunit ribosomal RNA", at positions 29 to 506 of the family's 1533-position model. The record is from RNAcentral.